UACGUAGGGGGCAAGCGUUAUCCGGAUUUACUGGGUGUAAAGGGAGCGUAGACGGCAUAGCAAGUCUGAAGUGAAAGCCCAAGGCUCAACCAUGGGACUGCUUUGGAAACUGUUAAGCUAGAGUGCUGGAGAGGUAAGCGGAAUUCCUAGUGUAGCGGUGAAAUGCGUAGAGAUCGGGAGGAACACCAGUGGCGAAGGCGGCUUACUGGGCUUUAACUGACGCUGAGGCACGAAAGCGUGGGUAGCAAACAGG
This 253-nucleotide ribosomal RNA is filed under the name uncultured bacterium. RNAcentral describes it as "partial 16S ribosomal RNA". It matches the Rfam family "Bacterial small subunit ribosomal RNA", at positions 524 to 776 of the family's 1533-position model. The record is from RNAcentral.